UGCCCAGACUCCUACGGGAGGCAGCAGUGAGGAAUAUUGGUCAAUGGGCGCGAGCCUGAACCAGCCAAGUAGCGUGAAGGAUGACUGCCCUACGGGUUGUAAACUUCUUUUAUAAAGGAAUAAAGUGAGGCACGUGUGCCUUUUUGUAUGUACUUUAUGAAUAAGGAUCGGCUAACUCCGUGCCAGCAGCCGCGGUAAUACGGAGGAUGCGAGCGUUAUCCGGAUUUAUUGGGUUUAAAGGGUGCGUAGGCGGGAUGCCAAGUCAGCGGUAAAAAUGCGGUGCUCAACGCCGUCGAGCCGUUGAAACUGGCGUUCUUGAGUGGGCGAGAAGUAUGCGGAAUGCGUGGUGUAGCGGUGAAAUGCAUAGAUAUCACGCAGAACUCCGAUUGCGAAGGCAGCAUACCGGCGCCCUACUGACGCUGAGGCACGAAAGCGUGGGUAUCGAACAGGAUUAGAUACCCGUGUAA
RNAcentral lists this ribosomal RNA (467 nucleotides) under uncultured bacterium. Its description in RNAcentral is "bacterial SSU rRNA". It matches the Rfam family "Bacterial small subunit ribosomal RNA", at positions 328 to 793 of the family's 1533-position model. The record is from RNAcentral.